Non-coding RNA from Schistocerca cancellata (South American locust), 73 nucleotides. Lineage: Eukaryota; Metazoa; Arthropoda; Insecta; Orthoptera; Acrididae. The record is from the annotation of a RefSeq genome assembly.
UCCGGUGUGGUCUAGUGGCUAGGAUACCUGGCUUUCACCCCAGGAGGCCCGGGUUCGAUUCCCGGUACCGGAA